GUUUCUUUACUUUUUCAGUGAAGCGGGAACUGUCAAUUAUUUUCCAUGUUGACAUUUAACACACGUUAGUGCAUUGUUCGUACCCCAUGUGUGGCUGGCGUGCCGGCGUCUUGAUCGCAACUGUCUGGCCAGGGCAAGUGAUAUGCGUGUUUUCCCUCUACUGCCUGUAGGUUGUAGCGGCAAGGUGGCAGCCCAUAGCUGGUAGACGGUGGGCGCGUGUGUCCGGUCUUCGUGCUAUUAGGCAGGUUUAACGACGUGCGACCCGAUCUGAAGACAGUGUCAGGCGGGAGUUUGACUGGGGCGAUGAAUCUGUCAAAUCGUAACGCAGGUGUCCCAAGGUGAGCUCAGCCAGGACAGAAACCUGGCGUAGAGUAAAAGGGCAAAAGCUUACUUAAUUUUGAUUUUCAGUACGAAUACAGACCGUGAAAGCGUAGCCUAGCGAUCGUUUUGGGGUUAGGUAUGGCUGUUUGACGGUGGCUAAUAAGCCAGAAAUGGCCAUUCUGGCCUCCCUUAUCUUUGUCGGUAAUGCCUUUUUGCCUAUAAUUAUAUCCAACAUGCGGCUGCUGGCUCGGCUCGUGGGUGAGCUCCAAGGCACGAUGGGGCGAGUGAGUUUUGUUUACAAUAAAUGAACACAUAUGCACCAUUCUUAUGUACAUCAAACAUAUAUAUUCGCUGAUCUACACUACCAUCGCUUUUUUUCAAAUGUCAUAGCUCUAUCCCCUUGACAGGGAAGUGAAAGUAGUUCUGUCAGGCUAACGACAUGUACUUCCGAGGAUAAGAGUUCACCCUCGUUGUUGCCGCAGACUUUCAAUGAUGAUCCUGUCGAAAGAAACGGCCGUAAAAAUAUGCUCUGAUGAGAGCCUCUGGAUUCUGUAAUAGGGCACAUUAAGAGGCUACCACCUGUGACUGCCACUUUCACUUUCGAAAUACUAUCCGAAUCGGCGAGGCGUCUGUCUGUGGAUAGCAGCCACCACUUACUUGUCAUCCAGUUCAUAACCGUGGAUGACAUUUUCCCGUUUAGCUCCUUCUUGGACUAACUGGACUGCUCAGGUAGAUGCUUUCUUGCGUAGCUGUGCUUCAGCUGCCAUUUUCCCUCUGACUUAGGGCCAGGAGUACAGGAGUUCCCUGUAUGGGAGGUUGGCCCAUUGAUCACCUUUUACCUUUUCCUUUCUUUCAGGUGGGACACGAGGGCGGUCACGACGACACUUACCCCUGUUGCUUCACCCCUGUGAGCUCGGGGUCGACGAGCUCCUGAAAUAUACAGUGGCGCAGUCCAAAAAGUUGGUGGUGCGAAUUGUCUGGUUAAUUCCUUUUACAAACGAGACUCUAGCCUGCUAAUUAGUACGUCAGUCCUCUGUUCCUGUGCUGGCGGCGUUUUGGUUAAACUGCUCAUUUUAGCUGACUACUUUCGAGCCGUGCAUUUCUUUGCGCGCGUUUGCCACGAGCCCCUCCCGGGGUGAGUGAUGUGCAUGCAUGUAGGGGCGUGGAUGUUGUAGGAGGUGUGAGCGGUUGGUUCUGCGAUAGCCUCCGGGUACGGCGCAGGUGUGUCUACUUCUUAGAGGGAUAAGCAUAAAAAUGUGCACGAAAUUGAACAAUAAGAGGUCUGUGAUGACCUCAAAGUUUCGGGGCCAAGCGUAGGCUAUAAUGAGUGUGCCAACGAGUCUGACCUUCUGGCCCGAAAAGAUUGGGCAAACUGGUCAAUCGCCGUCAUGACAGGGAUCGGAGCUUGGAAUUGUUCCCCGUGAACGAGGAAUUCCUAGUAAGUGCAAGGUAUAAGCUUGAGCUGAUUACGUUCCUGCCCUUUGUACACAACGCCCGUCGAUACUACCGAUUGAAUGGUUUAGUAAGGCCCUCGGAUUGGCGCCAUUGCAGUGCCAGCCGCAAGGUUGGUGCUCGGCAGGUGCCGAGAAGAUGACUUAAGUUGAUCAUUUGGAGGAAGUUAAAGUCGUAGCAAGGUUUUCGUAGGUGAACCUGCGGAAGGAUCAUUA
Molecule: non-coding RNA, 1988 nt
Filed under: Schistocephalus solidus
Lineage: Eukaryota; Metazoa; Platyhelminthes; Cestoda; Diphyllobothriidea; Diphyllobothriidae
Description: Eukaryotic small subunit ribosomal RNA
Rfam family: Eukaryotic small subunit ribosomal RNA (bases 1114-1988)
Source: Rfam by way of RNAcentral